RNAcentral lists this ribosomal RNA (456 nucleotides) under uncultured Desulfobulbus sp. RNAcentral's name for it is "bacterial SSU rRNA". It matches the Rfam family "Bacterial small subunit ribosomal RNA", at positions 930 to 1382 of the family's 1533-position model. The record is from RNAcentral. Lineage: Bacteria; Pseudomonadati; Thermodesulfobacteriota; Desulfobulbia; Desulfobulbales; Desulfobulbaceae.
CGGUGGAGUAUGUGGUUUAAUUCGAUGCAACGCGAAGAACUUACCUGGUCUUGACAUCCCGGAGACCCUUAGGAAACUAGGGGUGCUUCCAUCUGGAAGAAUCUGGAGACAGGUGCUGCAUGGCUGUCGUCAGCUCGUGUCGUGAGAUGUUGGGUUAAGUCCCGCAACGAGCGCAACCCUUGCCUUUAGUUGCCAGCAGUUCGGCUGGGCACUCUAAAGGGACUGCCGGUGUUAAACCGGAGGAAGGUGGGGAUGACGUCAAGUCCUCAUGGCCUUUAUGACCAGGGCUACACACGUACUACAAUGGCCGAUACAAAGGGCAGCGACACUGCGAGGUGAAGCCAAUCCCGUAAAAUCGGUCUCAGUCCGGAUUGGAGUCUGCAACUCGACUCCAUGAAGUUGGAAUCGCUAGUAAUCGUGGAUCAGCAUGCCACGGUGAAUACGUUCCCGGGCCUU